This 308-nucleotide ribosomal RNA is filed under the name uncultured bacterium. RNAcentral describes it as "partial 16S ribosomal RNA". It matches the Rfam family "Bacterial small subunit ribosomal RNA", at positions 505 to 807 of the family's 1533-position model. The record is from RNAcentral.
GAGACAGCAGUCGCCGCGGUAAUACAGAGGGUGCGAGCGUUAUCCGGAAUCAUUGGGUUUAAAGGGUCCGUAGGCGGUCUUGUAAGUCAGUGGUGAAAGCCCAUCGCUCAACGGUGGAACGGCCAUUGAUACUGCAGGACUUGAAUUAUUGGGAAGUAACUAGAAUAUGUAGUGUAGCGGUGAAAUGCUUAGAGAUUACAUGGAAUACCAAUUGCGAAGGCAGUUUACUACCAAUUGAUUGACGCUGAUGGACGAAAGCGUGGGUAGCGAACAGGAUUAGAGACCCCAGUAGUCCCUGUCUCUUAUAC